AUUGAACGCUGGCGGCAGGCCUAACACAUGCAAGUCGAACGAGUGGCGGAUGGGUGAGUAAUGUCUGGGAAACUGCUCGAUGGUGGGGGAUAACUACUGGAAACGGUAGCUAAUAUCGCACACUAUAGGAUGUGGCCCGAUGGGAUUAGCUAGUAGGUGGGGUAAAGGCUCCCCUAGGCGACGCACCCUAGCUGGUCUGAGAGGCUGACCAGCCACACUGGAACUGAGACACGGUCCAGACUCCUACGGGAGGCAGCAGUGGGGAAUAUUGCACAAUGGGCGCAAACCUUAUGCAGCCAUGCCGCGUGUAUGAAGAAGGCCUUCGGGUUGUAAAGUACUUUCAGCGAGGGGACGUUACUCGCAGAAGAAGCACCGGCUAACUCCGUGCCAGCAGCCGCGGUAAUUC
Molecule: ribosomal RNA, 406 nt
Filed under: uncultured bacterium
Lineage: Bacteria
Description: partial 16S ribosomal RNA
Rfam family: Bacterial small subunit ribosomal RNA
Source: RNAcentral